GCAUCGAUGAUUCAGUGGUAAAAUGCACGCGGGCGGCCCGGGUUCGAUUCCCAGCCGAUACA
Molecule: transfer RNA, 62 nt
Filed under: Cordylochernes scorpioides
Lineage: Eukaryota; Metazoa; Arthropoda; Arachnida; Pseudoscorpiones; Chernetidae
Description: tRNA-OTHER
Source: RNAcentral